This 492-nucleotide ribosomal RNA is filed under the name uncultured bacterium. Its description in RNAcentral is "partial 16S ribosomal RNA". It matches the Rfam family "Bacterial small subunit ribosomal RNA", at positions 29 to 507 of the family's 1533-position model. The record is from RNAcentral.
AGUGAACGCUGGCGGUAGGCCUAACACAUGCAAGUCGAACGGCAGCACAGUAAGAGCUUGCUCUUACGGGUGGCGAGUGGCGGACGGGUGAGGAAUACACCGGAAUCUACUUUUUCGUGGGGGAUAACGUAGGGAAACUUGCGCUAAUACCGCAUACGACCUACGGGUGAAAGCAGGGGAUCUUCGGACCUUGCGCGAUUGAAUGAGCCGAUGUCGGAUUAGCUAGUUGGCGGGGUAAAGGCCCACCAAGGCGACGAUCCGUAGCUGGUCUGAGAGGAUGAUCAGCCACACUGGAACUGAGACACGGUCCAGACUCCUACGGGAGGCAGCAGUGGGGAAUAUUGGACAAAGGGCGCAAGCCUGAUCCAGCCAUACCGCGUGGGUGAAGAAGGCCUUCGGGUUGUAAAGCCCUUUUGUUGGGAAAGAAAAGCAGCAGGUUAAUACCCCGCUGUUCUGACGGUACCCAAAGAAUAAGCACCGGCUAACUUCGUG